Molecule: ribosomal RNA, 467 nt
Filed under: uncultured bacterium
Lineage: Bacteria
Description: partial 16S ribosomal RNA
Rfam family: Bacterial small subunit ribosomal RNA
Source: RNAcentral
GACGAACGCUGGCGGCGUGCUUAACACAUGCAAGUCGAACGAUGACGACCGAGCUUGCUCGGUCUGAUUAGUGGCGAACGGGUGAGUAACACGUGAGCAACCUGCCCUUCACUCUGGGAUAACCUCGGGAAAUCGGGGCUAAUACCGGAUAUGAGCUCCUGUCGCAUGGCGGGUGUUGGAAAGUUUUUCGGUGAAGGAUGGGCUCGCGGCCUAUCAGUUUGUUGGUGUGGUAGUGGCUCACCAAGGCGAUGACGGGUAGCCGGCCUGAGAGGGCGACCGGCCACACUGGGACUGAGACACGGCCCAGACUCCUACGGGAGGCAGCAGUGGGGAAUAUUGCACAAUGGGCGAAAGCCUGGUGCAGCGACGCCGCGUGAGGGAUGACGGCCUUCGGGUUGUAAACCUCUUUCAGCAGGGAAGAAGCGAAAGUGACGGUACCUGCAGAAGAAGCGCCGGCUAACUACGUG